This 500-nucleotide ribosomal RNA is filed under the name uncultured bacterium. RNAcentral's name for it is "partial 16S ribosomal RNA". It matches the Rfam family "Bacterial small subunit ribosomal RNA", at positions 30 to 523 of the family's 1533-position model. The record is from RNAcentral.
AUUGAACGCUGGCGGCAUGCCUUACACGUGCAAGUCGAACGGCAGCACGGGAGCAAUCCUGGUGGCGAGUGGCGAACGGGUGAGUAAUAUAUCGGAACGUGCCCAGUCGCGGGGGAUAACGCAGCGAAAGCUGUGCUAAUACCGCAUACGAUCUAUGGAUGAAAGCGGGGGAUCGCAAGACCUCGCGCGAUUGGAGCGGCCGAUAUCAGAUUAGCUAGCUGGUGAGGUAAAGGCUCACCAAGGCGACGAUCUGUAGCUGGUCUGAGAGGACGACCAGCCACACUGGAACUGAGACACGGUCCAGACUCCUACGGGAGGCAGCAGUGGGGAAUUUUGGACACUGGGCGAAAGCCUGAUCCAGUAAUGCCGCGUGCAGGAUGAAGGCCUUCGGGUUGUAAACUGCUUUUGUACGGAACGAAACGGUGAGCUCUAAUACAGUUUGCUAAUGACGGUACCGUAAGAAUAAGCACCGGUUAACUACGUGCCAGCCGCCGCAGUAA